UAUUGGUCAAUGGAGGCGAGUCUGAACCAGCCCAGUAGCGUGAAGGAUGACUGCCCUAUGGGUUGUAAACUUCUUUUAUAUGGGAAUAAAGUUUUCCACGUGUGGCAGUUUGUAUGUACCAUAUGAAUAAGGAUCGGCGAACUCCGUGCCAGCAGCCGCGGUAAUACGGAGGAUCCGAGCGUUAUCCGGAUUUCUUGGGUUUAAAGGGAGCGUAGGCGGGUUGUUAAGUCAGUUGUGAAAGUUUGCGGCUCAACCGUAAAAUUGCAGUUGAUACUGGCUGUCUUGAGUACAGUAGAGGUGGGCGGAAUUCGUGGUGUAGCGGUGAAAUGCUUAGAUAUCACGAAGAACUCCGAUUGCGAAGGCAGCUCACUAGACUGCAACUGACACUGAUGCUCGAAAGUGUGGGUAUCAAAC
Molecule: ribosomal RNA, 414 nt
Filed under: uncultured bacterium
Lineage: Bacteria
Description: bacterial SSU rRNA
Rfam family: Bacterial small subunit ribosomal RNA
Source: RNAcentral